This 1289-nucleotide ribosomal RNA is filed under the name metagenome. RNAcentral's name for it is "bacterial SSU rRNA". It matches the Rfam family "Bacterial small subunit ribosomal RNA", at positions 243 to 1520 of the family's 1533-position model. The record is from RNAcentral.
AGCUAGUUGGUAGGGUAAAGGCCUACCAAGGCAACGAUGGUUAGCUGGUCUGAGAGGAUGAUCAGCCACACUGGAACUGACACACGGUCCAGACUCCUACGGGAGGCAGCAGUGAGGAAUUUUGCGCAAUGGGGGAAACCCUGACGCAGCAACGCCGCGUGAGUGAUGAAGGCCUUCGGGUCGUAAAACUCUGUCAAGUGGGAAGAAACUAUAUAAGGCCAAUACCCUUAUGUACUGACGGUACCACUGAAGGAAGCACCGGCUAACUCCGUGCCAGCAGCCGCGGUAAUACGGGAGGUGCAAGCGUUAUUCGGAAUUAUUGGGCGUAAAGGGCGCGUAGGCGGCCUUAUCAGUCAGAUGUGAAAGCCCUGGGCUUAACCCAGGAAGUGCAUUUGAUACUGUAAGACUUGAGUAUGGGAGAGGGAAGUGGAAUUCCUGGUGUAGAGGUGAAAUUCGUAGAUAUCAGGAGGAACACCGGUGGCGAAGGCGACUUCCUGGACCAAUACUGACGCUGAGGCGCGAAGGCGUGGGGAGCGAACAGGAUUAGAUACCCUGGUAGUCCACGCAGUAAACGGUGAGAACUAGGUGUAGCGGGUAUUGACCCCUGCUGUGCCGCAGUUAACGCAUUAAGUUCUCCGCCUGGGGAGUACGAUCGCAAGAUUAAAACUCAAAGGAAUUGACGGGGCCCGCACAAGCGGUGGAGCAUGUGGUUUAAUUCGACGCAACGCGAAGAACCUUACCUGGAUUUGACAUCUCGGUAAUCCCUUGGAAACUUGGGAGUGCCCUUCGGGGAACCUGAAGACAGGUGCUGCAUGGCUGUCGUCAGCUCGUGUCGUGAGAUGUUGGGUUAAGUCCCGCAACGAGCGCAACCCUUAUCUUUAGUUACCAGCAUUUCGGAUGGGGACUCUAGAGAUACUGCCCCGGUUAACGGGGAGGAAGGUGGGGAUGACGUCAAGUCCUCAUGGCCUUUAUAUCCAGGGCUACACACGUGCUACAAUGGUCGGUACAAAGGGUCGCCAACCUGCGAAGGUGAGCUAAUCCCAGAAAGCCGACCCAAGUUCGGAUUGGAGUCUGCAACUCGACUCCAUGAAGCUGGAAUCGCUAGUAAUCGUGGUUCAGCAUGCCACGGUGAAUACGUUCCCGGGCCUUGUACACACCGCCCGUCACACCAUGAGAGUUGAUUGUACCGGAAGUUGUCAGGCCAACCUUUCGAGGAGGCAGGCACCUAUGGUAUGAUUGAUGAUUGGGGUGAAGUCGUAACAAGGUAGCCGUUGGGGAACCAGCGGCUG